Molecule: long non-coding RNA, 559 nt
Organism: Siniperca chuatsi (mandarin fish)
Lineage: Eukaryota; Metazoa; Chordata; Actinopteri; Centrarchiformes; Sinipercidae
Exons: 2
Source: RefSeq, a predicted model, not a curated record
UUGUUUUGACAGCCUGUGUGGGCAGCAUCUCGGCUAAAGAAGAACAGAGUUUUAUUUUGCAAGGGACAUUGGGAAUGAGUCAGAACAGAACGCUUUCUCUAUUCAGUGGUUUUUCAGCUGCCCUUGUCAGUCCAUGCCCACAGCUUUCUCUUCUCAGCACUCUGAAAUAGCAUUCAAGUUCUCCUGUAUUAGAAACACCCCACUUGGCACUCAGUAAAAACAUUGGGGCCUUUGUUGUGAGUGAAGUAGCUUAGCAGGGAGGAAUGUGAAGUUUAUAAAUAAUUAGUCUCAGGUAACUUGAAAGUUCUUGCAGCUUCUUGAUCGGCAGUGGGGUUCGUUUGUCUUAACCUGCCUCCAAGUUGCCCACCGUUGUCCCAGGAGGACCUGACCGCAGCUCUCCUCUGCUCCACCUCAGCCUGCUGUUCUUCCUCCGCCUGCCUGCUCUCCCCAGCCUCUUGUCGGCCUGCUGUCGGCACCCGGUCCACCAGCUCCCAGCAAUUACCUCCACACUCCUGGUUCCUCAUUGUAUUUCCUAAAUAAACUGAAACUAACUACUUCA